GGGUUCCAGGAAAUAGCCCCACCGUAUAGACCGUACCCGAAACCGACACAGGUGGUCAGGUAGAGUAUACCAAGGCGCUUGAGAGAAGUGUACUGAAGGAACUCGGCAAAUUGCCUCCGUACCUUCGGAAGAAGGAGGCCCCACGUAAGCGCAAGCUCUCGUGGGGGGCACAGGCCAGGGGGUAGCGACUGUUUAGCAAAAACACAGGGCUCUGCUAAGUCGGCUUCAAGACGACGUAUAGGGUCUGACGCCUGCCCGGUGCCUGAAGGUUAGGUGGAGGGGUGCAAGCUCCGAAAUGAAGCCCAGGUAAACGGCGGCCGUAACGAUAACGGUCCUAAGGUAGCGAAAUUCCUUGUCGGGUAAGUUCCGACCUGCACGAAUGGCGUAACGACUUCCCCACUGUCUCCAGUACAUGCUCAGCGAAAUUGAAUUCUCCGUGAAGAUGCGGAGUACCCGCGGUUAGACGGAAAGACCCCGUGCACCUUUACUGCAGCUUCAGAGUGGCAUUAGGAAAGAACUGUGUAGCAUAGGUGGGAGGCUUUGAAACUUGGGCGCCAGCUCGAGUGGAGCCAUAGGUGAAAUACCACCCUGUUGUUUUCUGAUGUCUAACCUUGAUCCAUGAAACUGGAUCAGGGACCCUCUGUGGCGGGUAGUUUGACUGGGGCGGUCGCCUCCUAAAGAGUAACGGAGGCGCGCGAAGGUUGGCUCAGGACGGUCGGAAACCGUCUGUUAGAGUGCAAUGGCAUAAGCCAGCCUGACUGCGAGACUGACAAGUCGAGCAGAGACGAAAGUCGGUCAUAGUGAUCCGGUGGUCCCUCGUGGAAGGGCCAUCGCUCAACGGAUAAAGGGUACGCCGGGGAUAACAGGCUGAUAACCCCCAAGAGCUCAUAUCGACGGGGUUGUUUGGCACCUCGAUGUCGGCUCAUCACAUCCUGGGGCUGGAGCAGGUCCCAAGGGUUUGGCUGUUCGCCAAUUAAAGUGAUACGUGAGCUGGGUUCAGAACGUCGCGAGACAGUUUGGUCCCUAUCUGCCGUGGGCGUCGAUAUUUGAGAGGAGUUGACCCUAGUACGAGAGGACCGGGUUGAACAUACCUCUGGUGGACCUGUCGUGGCGCCAGCCGCGCAGCAGGGUAGCUAUGUAUGGACGGGAUAACCGCUGAAAGCAUCUAAGCGGGAAGCCUCCCUCAAGAUAAGAUAUCACAGAGCCGUGGGAGACCACCACGUUGAUAGAUCGGAUGUGGAAGUGCGGUAACGCAUGGAGCUAACCGAUACUAAUUGCUCUA
This 1282-nucleotide ribosomal RNA is filed under the name metagenome. Its description in RNAcentral is "bacterial LSU rRNA". It matches the Rfam family "Bacterial large subunit ribosomal RNA", at positions 1603 to 2913 of the family's 2925-position model. The record is from RNAcentral.